CACCAGUAUUCAGUGUCUAGACGCCAUGUUAUUGUUCGGCGCAGUGGUAAAUCCAAGUUUAGAUAACUACACCCUCACCAUCUACCCACAAAUAGCCAACACAAGACUAAAUCUGCCAAAUCCGACAACGCUACGCCAAGCAACCGGCGACAUACAAGUAGCGGUACCCCUAUAACCUCCCUGAAGAAGGCCCAAACCAAGGGCCGAAACGUCGGAUGUAAUAGAAUCACCCCGCUCAUAAUUUUCCGGACCGAAAAGCCAAUUUUAGAGGGAUAAAUUCUGCCUAUCAGUCGGUCGUUUCCAC
Aedes albopictus (Asian tiger mosquito) is the source of this 304-nucleotide long non-coding RNA. RefSeq lists it as uncharacterized. The record is from RefSeq and is a predicted model, not a curated record. Lineage: Eukaryota; Metazoa; Arthropoda; Insecta; Diptera; Culicidae. The transcript has 3 exons.